RNAcentral lists this microRNA precursor (203 nucleotides) under Drosophila guanche. Lineage: Eukaryota; Metazoa; Arthropoda; Insecta; Diptera; Drosophilidae. The record is from RNAcentral.
ACGAGCAAGAGAGACAGAGAGAGAGAGAGAGAGAGAGAUAAAUGGAGACUAUGGCGAGACCAACGAAGAGACAUCCUCUGAUUUAGUUAAACAUUUAGUCAGCAGCUAAUUAUGAAUAAUUAGUUGGCAUGGCACUCUGUGUCGCCGCUUUCACUCUCUCUCUCUCUCACUCACUCUCUCUCCUCCCUUCUCUCUCUCUAUCU